UACGUAGGUGACCAGCGUUGUCCGGAUUUACUGGGCGUAAAGAGCGCGCAGGCGGUCGUUCAAGUCGAGUGUGAAAGCCCCCGGCUCAACUGGGGAGGGUCACUCGAUACUGAUCGACUUGAAGGCAGGAGAGGGAAGCGGAAUUCCCGGUGUAGUGGUGAAAUGCGUAGAGAUCGGCAGGAACACCCAGGGGGAAACCAGCCGACUGGGCAUCUGCUGACGCUGAGGUGCGAGAGCGUGGGGAGCGAACCGG
RNAcentral lists this ribosomal RNA (253 nucleotides) under uncultured bacterium. Its description in RNAcentral is "partial 16S ribosomal RNA". It matches the Rfam family "Bacterial small subunit ribosomal RNA", at positions 524 to 776 of the family's 1533-position model. The record is from RNAcentral.